GUGGGAUAGUCUUGAAUUCCGGCCAGCAUUUCUGUCAAUUAGCGGAAGGCUCACACAUACUGGGAGGGUAUGGCUUCAAGGGAUGGACUAAGAUGAAGUAGAGAGCUAACAGUAAAAAAGAGUCUCCUAAGCAAAAUCUAGGUGAAGACGGUAACAAUAACACAUAACAAGCAGUCUUUAUGAACAAAUAAUGUACUUCAAGUCGGAACUAACAUAUACUGCAUGUGCUU
RNAcentral lists this long non-coding RNA (230 nucleotides) under Solanum tuberosum (potato). RNAcentral's name for it is "long non-coding RNA (STUB_LNC003782)". The record is from RNAcentral. Lineage: Eukaryota; Viridiplantae; Streptophyta; Magnoliopsida; Solanales; Solanaceae.